RNAcentral lists this ribosomal RNA (632 nucleotides) under Linderina macrospora. RNAcentral's name for it is "eukaryotic LSU rRNA". It matches the Rfam family "Eukaryotic large subunit ribosomal RNA", at positions 78 to 634 of the family's 3401-position model. The record is from RNAcentral. Lineage: Eukaryota; Fungi; Kickxellomycota; Kickxellomycetes; Kickxellales; Kickxellaceae.
CCCUAGUAACGGCGAGUGAAGCGGGAACAGCUCAAGGCAGGAAUCCCUUCGGGGAGUUGUGGCCUAUGGAACGUAGUUGCUGUAAGCCGGUCUGCGGAUCAAGUCCCUUGGAAUAGGGCGCCAGAGAGGGUGAUAGCCCCGUCCACUGCAGGCUUGAACGGUUUCGUUAUGCACUAUGCUCCGCGAGUCGGGUUGUUUGGGAAUGCAGCCCUAAUCGGGAGGUACGCACCUUCCAAGGCUAAAUAUUCAGGCGAGAGACCGAUAGCGAACAAGUACCGUGAGGGAAAGUUGAAAAGUACUCUGGAGAGAGAGUGAAAAGCGCGUGAAACCAUUAGUAGGGAACCGCUUGCACGGUGCACCGAGUGUUGUUGGCUUCGGCCGGCUUCACCGCUCAACACCAGUUUAGCUUGCUGGAAAAAGCAGGCGGCAAGGUAGCAACGCUUCGGGGUUGUGUUAUAGGCCGCUUGCAUAUACAGUGGGCUGGACUGAGGACGGCGACAUCUUCCUUCGGGGGGCGCUUGUGCGGGCUGGCCACUGGGCUGGACUGUGCGGACAGCAUGCUGACCGUACGGGACCACGUCUGGUGCUCCAGUUCGUAUCUUGUGAUAUGUCAAGGGUAGUUGAGAAGCGCU